GCGCCGUAGGGAUCCGUAGGCGGUCUGGUAAGUCGGUUGUGAAAUCUCCGGCCUUACCCCAGAGGCUGCUAAUGUGACUGCUGUGCUAGAGUGUGAGAGAGGCGAGUGGAUGUACGGGUGUAGCGGUGAAAUGUGUAUAUAUGUGUAGGAACAUUCGAGGCGAAGGCGGCUCCCUGGAUCUCUACUGACGCUGAUGGACGAAAGCUAGGGGAGCAAACAGGAUUAGAUACCCUGGUAGUCCUAGCCCUAAACCAUCAGGACUUGGGGUUUGCCUUGUAUUGCGUAAGUCCCGUAGCUAACGCGUUAAGUCCUGCGCCUGGGGAGUACGGUCGCAAGGUUGAAACUCAAAGGAAUUGACGGGGGCCCGCACAAGCGGUGGAACAUGUGGUUCAAUUCGACGCAACGCGAAGAACCUUACCUGGGCUUGAACCGCACAGGACCAGCCUCAGAAAUGGGGCCUUCCCGCAAGGGAACUGAGUAAAGGUGCUGCAUGGCUGUCGUCAGCUCGUGCCGGGAGGAGUUGGGUUAAGUCCCGCCACGAGCGCAACCCUUACUCAUAGUUGCUUCCCGCAGAGCACAACUCUAUGACGACUGCUCCCGAUCACGGAGAGGAAGGUGAGGAUGACGUCACGUCAUCAUGGUCUUUAUUUUCGGGGCUACACGCGUGUGACGGUGCGCGCCACAGAGCGUCGCAGACCCGCGAGGGGGAGCUAAUCGCAGAAAAGCGCGCUCAGAUCGGAUUGCAGUCUGCAACUCGACUGCGUGAAGCCGGAAUCGCUAGUAAUGGCGCAUCUCAACAGCGCCCUGAAUACAUUUUCGGGUCUUGUACAACUCCGCCCGUC
This 842-nucleotide ribosomal RNA is filed under the name uncultured bacterium. RNAcentral describes it as "bacterial SSU rRNA". It matches the Rfam family "Bacterial small subunit ribosomal RNA", at positions 556 to 1398 of the family's 1533-position model. The record is from RNAcentral.